AUGGAGGCUUGUGCGGGCCAAGCUAGCAGCGCGCACAUCGUUCUGGUGCACGGCGCAUGCCUCGGCGGCUGGUCCUGGUUCAAGGUGGCGACGCGGCUCAGGUCCGCCGGGCACCGCGUCAGCACGCCUGACCUGGCGGCGUCCGGCGUCGACCCCAGGCCGCUGCGCGAGGUGCCGACGUUCCGCGACUACACCAAGCCGCUGCUGGACCUCCUGGAGUCCCUCCCGCCCGGCGAGAAGGUGGUGCUCGUCGGCCAUAGCCUCGGCGGCGUGAACAUCGCCCUCGCCUGCGAGCUGUUCCCGGAGAAGAUCGCCGCUGCGGUGUUCGUCUCCGCCUUCAUGCCGGACCACAGGUCGCCGCCGUCGUACGUGCUUGAGAAGUUCGUGGAGGGGAGAACGCUGGACUGGAUGGACACGGAGUUCAAGCCUCAAGAUCCCGAGGGCAGGCUGCCUACUUCCAUGCUGUUCGGGCCGCUGGUCACUCGAGCAAAGUUCUUCCAGCUGUGCUCGCCGGAGGACCUGACGCUGGGAAGGUCCCUGAUGAGGGUCAGCUCCAUGUUCGUGGACGACCUGAGGCUGCAGCCGCCCUACACCGAGGCCCGCUACGGGUCCGUGCGCAAGGCGUACGUCGUCUUCAAGGACGACCACGCCAUCGUCGAGGGGUUCCAGCGGUGGAUGGUGCACAACUACCCCGUGGAUGAGGUGAUGGAAAUCGACAGCGCGGACCACAUGGCGUUGCUCUCGACGCCGACCGAGCUGGCGCGCUGCCUCGCUGACAUCGCCGACAAGUAUGCUGCUUGA
RNAcentral lists this ribosomal RNA (801 nucleotides) under Triticum aestivum (bread wheat). RNAcentral's name for it is "partial small subunit ribosomal RNA". The record is from RNAcentral. Lineage: Eukaryota; Viridiplantae; Streptophyta; Magnoliopsida; Poales; Poaceae.